CAGCCGCCGCGGGAAUACAGAGGGUGCAAGCGUUAAUCGGAAUUACUGGGCGUAAAGCGCGCGUAGGUGGUUUGUUAAGUUGGAUGUGAAAUCCCCGGGCUCAACCUGGGAACUGCAUCCAAAACUGGCAAGCUAGAGUAUGGUAGAGGGUGGUGGAAUUUCCUGUGUAGCGGUGAAAUGCGUAGAUAUAGGAAGGAACACCAUUGGCGAAGGCGACCACCUGGACUGAUACUGACACUGAGGUGCGAAAGCGUGGGGAGCAAACAGGAUUAGAUACCCGCGUAGUCCCUGUCUCUUAUAC
RNAcentral lists this ribosomal RNA (301 nucleotides) under uncultured bacterium. RNAcentral describes it as "partial 16S ribosomal RNA". It matches the Rfam family "Bacterial small subunit ribosomal RNA", at positions 509 to 807 of the family's 1533-position model. The record is from RNAcentral.